Molecule: transfer RNA, 76 nt
Filed under: Niastella vici
Lineage: Bacteria; Pseudomonadati; Bacteroidota; Chitinophagia; Chitinophagales; Chitinophagaceae
Description: tRNA-Pro
Rfam family: tRNA
About the family: Transfer RNA (tRNA) molecules are approximately 80 nucleotides in length. Their secondary structure includes four short double-helical elements and three loops (D, anti-codon, and T loops). Further hydrogen bonds mediate the characteristic L-shaped molecular structure. tRNAs have two regions of fundamental functional importance: the anti-codon, which is responsible for specific mRNA codon recognition, and the 3' end, to which the tRNAs corresponding amino acid is attached (by aminoacyl-tRNA synthetases). tRNAs cope with the degeneracy of the genetic code in two manners: having more than one tRNA (with a specific anti-codon) for a particular amino acid; and 'wobble' base-pairing, i.e. permitting non-standard base-pairing at the 3rd anti-codon position.
Source: RNAcentral
AUAGGAGUAUUCCGGUUGGUCGGAUACCCCGUUUGGAUCGGGGAGGCUGCAGGUUCGAGUCCUGUCUCCUAUACCA